UUGGUCAAGAUCCCAACCCUAAAAUUCCUAAGCUUUUUCUGCAGAGACGCAAUGGUUUCGGUGAAUGGUGUUAUGGCGAUGAUCGGCGCUGCAGGCGCCGGAAUGACUCUGUAUUUGACGUGUGAAGAAAUCUGUCAUAUCGUGAAGAUGAGAGCAGAGAAAAGAAGGGCAACAGCACCAUCCCCCUCUGUCAACCAACAGUUACCGUCUGCUGUGAAGCCAUGAAUGAUGCUCCAUAACAAGGAGUCGAGAAGUCUCAUGUGCAGAGAUGAUGAUUAGUUAGCAUGAGUGUUGGGUGUGUGUGUCGUGGAUGUCUUUUGGUUCUCGAAACUCAAAACUAUGUUUUUAUUUAUUAUGAUUGUAUAAACUCAAAAAUAUGAGGUUUGAUUCCCUGA
Molecule: long non-coding RNA, 395 nt
Organism: Rosa rugosa (rugosa rose)
Lineage: Eukaryota; Viridiplantae; Streptophyta; Magnoliopsida; Rosales; Rosaceae
Exons: 2
Source: RefSeq, a predicted model, not a curated record